UACGGAGGGUGCAAGCGUUGUCCGGAUUUAUUGGGUUUAAAGGGUACGUAGGCGGUCUGUUAAGUCAGUGGUGAAAUGCGGGGGCUCAACCCCCGGACUGCCAUUGAUACUGGCAGGCUUGAGUGUUGUAGAGGUGGGCGGAAUUUGUGAUGUAGCGGUGAAAUGCAUAGAUAUCACAAGGAACACCAAAAGCGAAGGCAGCUCACUGGACAACAACUGACGCUGAGGUACGAAAGCGUGGGGAGCGAACAGG
Molecule: unclassified non-coding RNA, 253 nt
Filed under: uncultured Cytophagales bacterium
Lineage: Bacteria; Pseudomonadati; Bacteroidota; Sphingobacteriia; Sphingobacteriales
Description: contains 16S-23S intergenic spacer region
Rfam family: Bacterial small subunit ribosomal RNA
Source: RNAcentral